Molecule: long non-coding RNA, 1803 nt
Filed under: Phaseolus vulgaris (common bean)
Lineage: Eukaryota; Viridiplantae; Streptophyta; Magnoliopsida; Fabales; Fabaceae
Description: long non-coding RNA (PVUL_LNC001269)
Source: RNAcentral
UUUUUGACCAUAACGUAAUCUUCUUAAGGGAUAAAAUUCAAUUUAAAUUUAACGACCACUUACAGAGGUGCAUGGUGCACAAUUCCCUAUGAAACGAUGAAGCUCCGAACAGAUAAAACCAAGAAGAUUGAUAUUAUCACAGACUUUACUGCAAACAUCAAAUGAUGCAGUUAAAGUUGUGUUUUUGAGCCCUACACAUUCAUACAUACAUACAUACAUUAUAUUAUAUAUAUAUAUAUAUAUAUAUAUAUAUAUAUAUAUAUAUAUAUCAAAUAACAUUAGAAGUGGAAGUGGUCCAUAAAAGAGAAGUUUGAAAAUGAUGAUAAAUAAAUGUGUUGAAUAUUAAAUAAUACCAGCACAAGAUGGGAAGUAGCACCAGCUUAUUGGUCUCCAAUUCAGAAUUAUCUCUCUCUCUCUCUUUCUCUCUCAACUUUUCAUGUUAAAGGAAAACUCAUUACAAAAUCUACAGCAAAAAGAAGAAGAAAUAAGAAAAGAAAAAGGAGAUAAAGCAUGGUAGGAAAAAAAACCAUUGUACUUACUAUUCAUAUUCUCAUCUAACUGAAGUGAUUUAAGGAGAGACCUAAUUCAGAAAUUUAAGCAGCUAGCGGAGCCAUAUAUAUCUGCUGAGAGAAAGGAAAAAAAGUAUGAUCGGAAGGAACAGAAAUGUUAGAUUCCCUCUCUGCAUAAAACGCCAACCCCACUUUCUUUCUACUACUAGAGAUAUAGGGAAUCAAAGUAGUUUCAACAAUUAUUUCAGUCUAAAAGGAAACAAAAAAAGUUCAGUUUGAUAACGUCAAUUUUCUGUUAUUCUUUACCCAAAUUCUCAGGCUCUUUGUCGCCGCCACAACACAAGCUUCAGAAAAACCAGCUAAAGAUAACAAAUUCCCAGAGCUGCCUUCAGAGCCUUGAUUAUUCUACCCCAAGAAAAUAUGAUGGUGUUGCAGAACAAAGAAAAGGGGAGAAAAACAAUGUGCACCCUAAAUUCAGCAUUCAGCAUUCAGCAUCCAGAAAGAAAACCAAAAGGUUCAAAAGCAAAAUCUGAUUGGUCAAAGAAUACAUUUAUGAUGCUAGAUAGAUCCAAAAGAGGUUUUUCACCCAAAGGAACACCUACGGAAUGCCCUAGCACAGACUAUAUAUAUCUAUAGUAACACACUGUACCCUUCAUAAAUGUAUAGAUCCAUAGACUAAGGGAAUGCAGUGAUAUGAUCAGAAUCAGAUACUGAGAGAGAGAAACUAUAUAUUCAUUAUUUUAAGCAGCAGAAAAUAUUUGGCAACUAUUCAAGGAGAAGAAUAAGAGAAAAGAACAAUUCCAGAAACAGCAAACCCGCAACUGCUCUCUGCAACAUUGGAAUGUACACUGUUUCCAGGUACUUCACCUAAUCUUUGAGACUAUUCAGUGUUCCAAAACAUGUCGUACAACACUUUUAGUCUACAAAUCUGGAUCACAUCCCAAACAUGAAGCAACCCCAUUUUCAGGCUUUUCAUAAGCUUUGAUUUGGUAACAAAUUUCUGCAAAGUGACCAUAAAAGUGUGUACGCAUAACCAAAUCCAUAAUUUAGAGAAGUAAAAUUGUGCAGAUCUGUGUGUGGUCUCUACGAAAGCUGAGAAGCCCUAGGGUGCUGCAAAGGGUGUGAACAGUGAAUGAGAAACCCUAAUGCGGAGGGAUAAUGCCAAAGCGUGCCUCGUUUGUCAUUGAUUGAUUGAAUGUUCGUACAUGUGGAGAUAAGGGAUGGGAUGAGUGAUGAUAAUAAAAAGCAAGAAGCACAGUGGCGUCCUUUGUGUUUUCUUGUGUCGACAAAGAUG